GACGAACGCUGGCGGCGUGCCUAAUACAUGCAAGUUGAGCGCUGAAGGUUGGUACUUGUACCAACUGGAUGAGCAGCGAACGGGUGAGUAACGCGUGGGGAAUCUGCCUUUGAGCGGGGGACAACAUUUGGAAACGAAUGCUAAUACCGCAUAAAAACUUUAAACACAAGUUUUAAGUUUGAAAGAUGCAAUUGCAUCACUCAAAGAUGAUCCCGCGUUGUAUUAGCUAGUUGGUGAGGUAAAGGCUCACCAAGGCGAUGAUACAUAGCCGACCUGAGAGGGUGAUCGGCCACAUUGGGACUGAGACGCGGCCCAAACUCCUACGGGAGGCAGCAGUAGGGAAUCUUCGGCAAUAGACGAAAGUCUGACCGAGCAACGCCGCGUGAGUGAAGAAGGUUUUCGGAUCGUAAAACUCUGUUGGUAGAGAAGAACGUUGGUGAGAGUGGAAAGCUCAUCAAGUGACGGUAACUACCCAGAAAGGGACGGCUAACUACGUG
This 497-nucleotide ribosomal RNA is filed under the name uncultured bacterium. Its description in RNAcentral is "partial 16S ribosomal RNA". It matches the Rfam family "Bacterial small subunit ribosomal RNA", at positions 28 to 507 of the family's 1533-position model. The record is from RNAcentral.